RNAcentral lists this ribosomal RNA (371 nucleotides) under uncultured bacterium. RNAcentral describes it as "bacterial SSU rRNA". It matches the Rfam family "Bacterial small subunit ribosomal RNA", at positions 527 to 896 of the family's 1533-position model. The record is from RNAcentral.
AGAGGUCUCAAGCGUUGUUCGGAUUCAUUGGGCGUAAAGGGUGCGUAGGCGGCGCGGUAAGUCGGGUGUGAAAUCUCGGAGCUUAACUCCGAAACUGCAUUCGAUACUGCCGUGCUUGAGGACUGGAGAGGAGACUGGAAUUUACGGUGUAGCGGUGAAAUGCGUAGAUAUCGUAAGGAAGACCAGUGGCGAAGGCGGGUCUCUGGACAGUUCCUGACGCUGAGGCACGAAGGCCAGGGGAGCAAACGGGAUUAGAUACCCCGGUAGUCCUGGCAGUAAACGGCGCACGUUUGGUGUGGGAGGAUUCGACCCCUUCUGCGCCGGAGCUAACGCGUUAAACGUGCCGCCUGGGGAGUACGGUCGCAAGAUUA